This 817-nucleotide small RNA is filed under the name uncultured Chloroflexota bacterium. RNAcentral's name for it is "bacterial SSU rRNA". The stretch from base 1 to 472 matches the Rfam family "Bacterial small subunit ribosomal RNA", at positions 1045 to 1533 of the family's 1533-position model. Lineage: Bacteria; Bacillati; Chloroflexota. The record is from RNAcentral.
AUGGCUGUCGUCAGCUCGUGCCGUGAGGUGUAGGGUUAAGUCCUGAAACGAGCGCAACCCUCGGCGUUAGUUAGAUAGUCUAACGCGACUGCCCGCGACAAGCGGGAGGAAGGCGGGGAUGACGUCAAGUCAGCAUGGCCUUUAUGUCCAGGGCGACACACACGCUACAAUGGUCGGUACAGUCGGUAGCCAACCCGCAAGGGGGAGCCAAUCCACAAAGCCGACCUCAGUUCAGAUUGUGGGCUGCAACCCGCCCACAUGAAGUCGGAGUUGCUAGUAACCGCGCGUCAGCAUAGUGCGGUGAAUACGUUCCCGGGCCUUGUACACACCGCCCGUCACGUCAUGGGAGCUGGUUACGCCUGAAGCCGGUGAGCCAACCGCAAGGAGGCAGCCGUCCAAGGCAGAAUCGGUGACUGGGACGAAGUCGUAACAAGGUAGCAGUAGCGGAAGCUGCGGCUGGAUCACCUCCCUUCUAGAGAGACACCGUGUGAAAUGGGUGAAAGCGACGCGCAAGCGUUGGAGUAGCCCCCAAACACCAGUCCUCACACAGGGUUUUCCUAACCCUGGGUGCUUUUUCUUGCUUGUCACUCCGCAGUCGUGAAGGGUGCACCUUAACAGUAGAAUAAGAAGAGCGCGAGGUAGCGAGAAACGCAGAAAACAGCGAGUUCUCAGUAGAAGGUUCUCAGAGAGAAGCUACAAGAGCGCAGAGGGAAUGACUUGGCGAUAAGUGCCGACGAAGGACGCGGUACACUGCGAAAAGCUCCGGUAAGGUGUGUGCAACCGUUACAACCGGAGAUGUCCGAAUGGGGAAACCCGG